AUCUUUUAAAAAAUAUUAAAGGCUUUAUUGACAUAUAAUCAAUGUACCAUGCAAUUCUUCCAUUUACAAGUAAAAUUCAGUGGUUUUUAAAUGCAGUUACCAAGUGCAACCUUCAUUUCAAUUAAUUCAAGAACAUUUUCAUCACCACCCAGAGAAAUUCUGCACCAUUCUACUGUCUCCCAAAGUCCAGUCCCUCUCUCCAAGUCCCAGCCAACCACUGUUCCGCUUUCUUUGUAUUUAGUACGUCUAUAUAUUCCAGAAAUAUGGAGUGGAUGUGAUUGUGAUUGGCUUGUGAUUGGCUUCCCUUGUGAUUGGCUUCUGUUAUUUAGGGAGAUGUUUAAAAAGUCAUCCAUGCUGUCAUCUCUAUCAUGUCAUACAUUUCUGCUGCUGACUAGUAUUCCAUUAUAUAGAUAUACCACUUUAUGCUUAUCCAUUCAUUGGUAGCGUUUGAAUUCUUUCCCCUUUCUGCCUAUAUUGGAAAUGCUGCUGUGGAUACUUCAUCCCCUCCCACUUUUCUUUCCCAGUGCUGAGGACUGAACCUUGGACCAUGCACAGUGCUAUACAAGCCCUCCAUGCUGAACUAUAUCCUAGCCCCACCAAUACUAUGAAUAGUUUUGUUCAUGUUUUAUGUCAACAUACUUUUCCAUUUCUCUUUAGCGCAAUGGUUUUUAAGUGAUAAGUUUUAACUGCAUUUCUAUUUUUUCUUAUGAAUAAAGGGACUGUAUUUUAGCACUUAACUCAGGAAUGUCAUGUAUACAAUUUCAAGUCCCUUAAAUAUGGUAUCAUCCCUUUCCUUAAAUUCUACUGCUUCUUGGUAAUAGAUGAGGAGAGGCUGUCUCUUGGGGCGGAGUGGGAGCUGGCUAACUUGUGAUUCCUAGACUCAGGAGCAGAUGCCACAGAAUUUCUUUGGCUGUACCAAGUAUGGGCCUUGCCCACAGAAGGUUCACAACUUUUAGCCCAUCACAAUCUUCUUUCCAAGGGCUCUGUGUCCACAGACUGUAGAGAAGAAUGAAAACCAGUCAGAGUUAGAGACUUAGGGAAAUUUACAGGGAAGAGGCAGGUGGGGGGGAGGAGGGUCUGGGGGAAAGCUGAGAAGCAGCUUCUCUGACACAGGCCAGUGAGAGCUUCACUCUGUCCCUGGGCGUGAUGUGGAGGCAUCAUCCUGUGUGUCCUGUGGGCCUGCAAAG
Molecule: long non-coding RNA, 1187 nt
Filed under: Cricetulus griseus (Chinese hamster)
Lineage: Eukaryota; Metazoa; Chordata; Mammalia; Rodentia; Cricetidae
Description: lncRNA (ENSCGRG00015039240.1)
Source: RNAcentral